CCUACGGGUGGCAGCAGUGGGGAAUAUUGGGCAAUGGGCGCAAGCCUGACCCAGCAACGCCGCGUGAAGGAAGAAGGCUUUCGGGUUGUAAACUUCUUUUCUGAGGGACGAAGAAAGUGACGGUACCUCAGGAAUAAGCCACGGCUAACUACGUGCCAGCAGCCGCGGUAAUACGUAGGUGGCAAGCGUUAUCCGGAUUUAUUGGGUGUAAGGGGCGUGUAGGCGGGAAAGCAAGUCAGAUGUGAAAACUCAGGGCUCAACCCUGAGCCUGCAUUUGAAACUGUUUUUCUUGAGUGCUGGGGAGGAAAUCGGAAUGCGGGGUGUAGCGGUGAAAUGCGUAGAUAUACGGCGGAACACCAGUUGCGAAGGCGGAUUGCUGGACAGUAACUGACGCUGAGGCGCGAAAGCGUGGGGAGCAAACAGGAUUAGAUACCCUGGUAGUC
This 443-nucleotide ribosomal RNA is filed under the name uncultured bacterium. RNAcentral's name for it is "partial 16S ribosomal RNA". It matches the Rfam family "Bacterial small subunit ribosomal RNA", at positions 338 to 795 of the family's 1533-position model. The record is from RNAcentral.